UGAACAAACGAUCCAUGAGACUGGGAUUCAGAAUCCAGUGUCGCUCAGCUGCUAGUAUUGAUCGUCCUAGCCAUCAGAAUCAGAGUGUAGCUCAGCUGAUUCUACUAUACUCUACUCUAGGUGUGAUUGUUCACUGAAAUCGAAUGAACGUCACCAAUGGGGCUAUUGUUGAUGUAAUUGGUGUCUGAAUUAUUAGUAGCAUCAAUAUAAAUUUAGUUUUAGUUAUUACCACUGUUAAUAGAAGAUUUGUUUUACCUUCUCUGUGGAUUUCUUCAGUACUAAGCAAACGGCCAACGAUUGACUUGUUAGUGACAUUGAUAAAUUUCUGAAGAAGGCUACAAUUCCAAUCGACAAUGCAAACGGAAAUUCGUUCUCCGAUGAAGCCCCCUGCCCCGCCGAGGAGCGACCGAUGUCGAGGAGAGGGAUGGUUUGUCUCCCAAGGCACAUUCAUCAGUAGGGCUGGACUAACGAGCAGCUCGGCUCGUUAAGCUCAUACUCGUUAAGCUCGUGCUCGUUAAGGCUCGGCUCGUUAAGCUCGUUAAGAUUAACGAGCAGAAAACCCUGCUCGGCUCGGCUCGUUUGAAGCUCGUUAAGUUCGUGAGCGCUCGCGAGCGCUCGUUAAUAAAUUAUAAUGUGUUAUGAUAUACGUGAUGAAUGUGUAGGUAUGGUUUUCAAGAUGAAAUAUGGUGACUACAAAAAGAAAUAAAGUAGUUUGUUGCCUCAUAUGUCGAUUAGAUUAAAUAGAUAGGCCGAGAUGCUACAAAAAGUUUGUCACGUAAUAUGAAAAUAUGUGUUGUGUUGUUACUAACGAGCUUAACGAGCUACUCGUGAAACUCGUUAGCUCGCUCGUUAAGCUCGUUAAGCUUAACGAGCUAAAAUCAAUGAUUGGCUCUGUUCAUUAAGAAGCGAGCUAUGAGCUUAGCGAGCCGAACUAUCGAGCGCUCAUUAAGCUCGCGAGCUACGAGCUUUUGGUCCAGCCCUAUUCAUCAGCAUCGAACAAGACGGUGUUAGAACCUUAUAUCAAGAUUGAAAAAUAAAACAGCCAACUGUAGAUUUCUGAGAAAAGAGCUACUCCCUCUGUUCCAUAUUACUCGUCGUUGAUUUAGUACAACUGGAACGGAGGGAGUAAUAAUUUUCUGUACAUAUUUAUCACGUGGUGCUGGAAGUCCUGGGGGUAUAGUUAAAAGCCGAAGUUAUUGUAAUAGUAUGGCACUUUUGUUGUCCAGAAAUUGAAUAGUUUUGGAAGUUAGUUCCUUUUAUCCACUUUGAGUUCCUCUUGAGCUUGAGCUCUUUGAGGCUUGCUUGGUUCAUUGUCCCCUAUUGUUAAAAAAAUAAACUCUGGAGGAAAACAGGCAUAACUUUCAUCGUAUUUUCAGCGACAUAAACCUGAGCGAUUUUGAAUCUGAUUUGUUGCUCUGAUAGAAUUAUCGGCGUCCAAAAUCCAGCUGCUAACAGAGACUUCUUGUCCAUCCAGCAUGUUCAGGAGCUGUUGCUUGUAUUGCAUCGCUCAUUUUUCAGAACAAACAAGAGAAAUUUCCAGCUGGAGUAUUUAUUUCCUUUAAUGCCACAUGUGCGAGUUAUGCAUGAUUAGGGCCUACAGUCCAUAUUCUUGAUGUAAUUGGUGUCUGAAUUAUUAGCAUCAACAAUAUUAAUUUCGUUGUUACUAUAUUACUACUAUUAAUAGAAGAUUUGUUUUACCUUCUCUGUGGAUUUCUUCAGUACUGAGCAACAGGCCAAUGAUUGACUUGUCGGUGACAUUGAUAAAUUUCUGAAGAAGCUACUAUUCCAAUCGAGAUUGCAAACAGAAAUUCGUCCUCCAAUGAAGCCCCCUGCUCCGCUGAGG
Molecule: long non-coding RNA, 1843 nt
Filed under: Triticum aestivum (bread wheat)
Lineage: Eukaryota; Viridiplantae; Streptophyta; Magnoliopsida; Poales; Poaceae
Description: long non-coding RNA (TAES_LNC027066)
Source: RNAcentral